Molecule: ribosomal RNA, 301 nt
Filed under: uncultured bacterium
Lineage: Bacteria
Description: partial 16S ribosomal RNA
Rfam family: Bacterial small subunit ribosomal RNA
Source: RNAcentral
CAGUAGCCGCGGGAAUACGUAGGGUGCGAGCGUUGUCCGGAAUUACUGGGCGUAAAGAGCUCGUAGGCGGUUUGUCGCGUCGUCUGUGAAAUUCUGCAGCUUAACUGUAGGCGUGCAGGCGAUACGGGCAGACUUGAGUACUACAGGGGAGACUGGAAUUCCUGGUGUAGCGGUGAAAUGCGCAGAUAUCAGGAGGAACACCGGUGGCGAAGGCGGGUCUCUGGGUAGUAACUGACGCUGAGGAGCGAAAGCGUGGGUAGCGAACAGGAUUAGAUACCCGGGUAGUCCCUGUCUCUUAUAC